GACGAACGCUGGCGGCGUGCUUAACACAUGCAAGUCGAACGCUGAAGCUUGGUGCUUGCACUGGGUGGAUGAGUGGCGAACGGGUGAGUAUCACGUGAGUAACCUGCCCCUGACUUCGGGAUAAGCCUGGGAAACUGGGUCUAAUACCGGAUAUGACCAUCUUUCGCAUGUUGGGUGGUGGAAAGUUUUUCGGUUGGGGAUGGGCUCGCGGCCUAUCAGUUUGUUGGUGGGGUAAUGGCCUACCAAGACGACGACGGGUAGCCGGCCUGAGAGGGCGACCGGCCACACUGGGACUGAGACACGGCCCAGACUCCUACGGGAGGCAGCAGUGGGGAAUAUUGCACAAUGGGGGGAACCCUGAUGCAGCGACGCCGCGUGGGGGAUGACGGCCUUCGGGUUGUAAACCUCUUUCAGUAGGGAAGAAGCCUUUGGGUGACGGUACCUGCAGAAGAAGUACCGGCUAACUACGUGCCAGCAGCCGCGGUAAUACGUAGGGUACAAGCGUUGUCCGGAAUUAUUGGGCGUAAAGAGCUCGUAGGUGGUUUGUCGCGUCUGCUGUGGAGUCGUGCCGCUUAACGGUGCGCGUGCAGUGGGGUACGGGCAGACUGGAGUGCAUUAGGGGAGUCUGGAAUUUCCUGGUGUAGCGGUGAAAUGCGCAUAUAUCACGAGGAACACCGGUGGCGAAGGCGGGACUCUGGGCUGUUACUGACGCUGAGGAGCGAAAGCAUCGGGAGCGAACAGG
RNAcentral lists this ribosomal RNA (742 nucleotides) under uncultured Brevibacterium sp. Its description in RNAcentral is "bacterial SSU rRNA". It matches the Rfam family "Bacterial small subunit ribosomal RNA", at positions 28 to 776 of the family's 1533-position model. Lineage: Bacteria; Bacillati; Actinomycetota; Actinomycetes; Micrococcales; Brevibacteriaceae. The record is from RNAcentral.